Heteronotia binoei (common prickly gecko) is the source of this 765-nucleotide long non-coding RNA. RefSeq lists it as uncharacterized. The transcript is spliced from 2 exons. The record is from RefSeq and is a predicted model, not a curated record. Lineage: Eukaryota; Metazoa; Chordata; Lepidosauria; Squamata; Gekkonidae.
GGGGCGAACCCGGGUUCGGGUCGCACGCGGGGGAGAUGCGCGCGCACCCGCGGCGGUUUUGUUUUUGCUCCACGUGCGGACUUCCCUCUCCGCGGGCGUUCUUAAGAAGUCCCCACUGGAGUUGUACGGCUCUUACUCCCCAAGUAAACAAGUCCUGGUUUUGCAGCCAGCUUGGUAAAAACACUGUGAAAAGUAAUCUCGUUGCCAUUGAAAGUGCAGAAAACUGGUCCUCCUAUCUGCAGUCAUUGAGGAUGAACUGAGACUUCCAAGCGUGGCUACAGCACUCAGUCACAGGAAUCAUGCUGGCAGCUUGACUUCUUCCUUUUGGACAUUCAUGGUACCUUCUGACUGAAUCUUGGCUGACCUGGAAAGCUGCAGAAGGAGAGAGUGAGAUGGAAGGAGCAGGCCGAAAGCACAGUUUCCCAGCCAUUUGACUACCUUCAUUCCAGGGAGACUUGUAGCUCCGUAUCUGCACUUCAUGAAGACCAGCAUCCUGAUAUGUAGCCUGUAUUGCUUUGCAGGGCAAAGACAACGUAAUUCAAGAUGGCUGUUCUAAGGAUUCUUGACAUCUAUUACAGUGAAUGCUGUUGAAGAGAAUUAUUUUAAGAAAUGGAAAAGCUUUGUAAGCAUAACAAUGGAUACAACUGCCAUUAGUGCCAUUUAAAAGGACCUGAUCCUUCUUACAGCAGAGGUUGGGGAGGUAGAAGAAAAUACCUGCCAUUGGUAUCAGACAAGUCAAGCCAAUAAAUGCAGAUCUUUCCUUUU